GACGAACGCUGGCGGCGUGCUUAACACAUGCAAGUCGAACGGAAAGGCCCUGCUUUUGUGGGGUGCUCGAGUGGCGAACGGGUGAGUAACACGUGAGUAACCUGCCCUUGACUUUGGGAUAACUUCAGGAAACUGGGGCUAAUACCGGAUAGGAGCUCCUGCUGCAUGGUGGGGGUUGGAAAGUUUCGGCGGUUGGGGAUGGACUGGCGGCUUAUCAGCUUGUUGGUGGGGUAGUGGCUUACCAAGGCUUUGACGGGUAGCCGGCCUGAGAGGGUGACCGGCCACAUUGGGACUGAGAUACGGACCAGUAUCCUACGGGAGGCAGCAGUGGGGAAUAUUGCACAAUGGGCGGAAGCCUGAUGCAGCAACGCCGCGUGCGGGAUGACGGCCUUCGGGUUGUAAACCGCUUUCGCCUGUGACGAAGCGUGAGUGACGGUAAUGGGUAAAGAAGCACCGGCUAACUACGUG
This 468-nucleotide ribosomal RNA is filed under the name uncultured bacterium. Its description in RNAcentral is "partial 16S ribosomal RNA". It matches the Rfam family "Bacterial small subunit ribosomal RNA", at positions 28 to 507 of the family's 1533-position model. The record is from RNAcentral.